This is a long non-coding RNA of Varroa destructor (honeybee mite), 2275 nucleotides long. RefSeq lists it as uncharacterized. NCBI's taxonomy places the organism in Eukaryota, Metazoa, Arthropoda, Arachnida, Mesostigmata, Varroidae. The record is from RefSeq and is a predicted model, not a curated record.
AUCUAGACAACGCUGCACGAGCGGUGAGAAGCGACAAAAGUAGGCUGCCAUCUAUAAAUACGUUACAAAAAACGGUUGCGCAUAUUUUAAAAGAAGUAUGCAAGCAGAGUGAAAAUUUGAAACUAUAUGACCUUGUUCAUUACACAACAAACAUCAUAAUACUGAUUACGCGCUAUUGCCUCUAUAACACAGGGUCUCCUUAUCAUUAUUGGAAAGGACGGACCCCAUCGGCUGUCAUGGUUGACCAUGUGGAAGGCCACAGUGAAAGGCGAAACAAGCGAGAAUGACAGGAGCCUGACAAACACAUCGUGAUACAAAGAACUGGAGCAAGAAUUGGGAGUCGCGGGAGAGGAAAAAGCAUUUUCACGACCGUAAUGUUCUAAUGCGGGACGACACAAGACAGACACACACAUCCAUGCAGGACGCCUAAGUGUAGAUAUCCGUUAAAUGAAGCUUCAUAUAGGCUCCGAGCGUCACAUGCAGAUGGAUGAGGACCGGAACUCAAAUAUAGUACAACCCAUUGCGAACGCAAUGUGGGACACCGAACCAAACCCUGUUGUACCUACAGCAGCCUUGUCGAGUGGAGAGAAGUUCCCCGGUGCAACGAUUUACUGUUAAACGAGAUCAGUGAGAAGAAGGACAAAUGGCAGGGGAGGAACUGGCUAGAUAUGAUCCCGUGACGUCGACCGAUCCAUCUUCGCAUUUUCCGUUUACCCAUGAUUUCCUGCCUUACCCGAACAAUGGCCUUUGUUAAAGACCAGCGAUGCCGUUCGCAGAAGAUGCGUUCAUUCUGCCUUUUGUUUUUCAACCAUGGCCAGGCCAGGAGCCGACGCGAACACAAUGUGAUAUGCUCACCAGCAGACUACGGUAUACUACAAGCUCUUCAAUCGUCCCCGUAGCCGUCAUCGGCUGAGUCGUCGCUCCGGACCCACCGACAACAAGUGGAUAUAAUGCGGCGGCUGCUGCUGCUGCUGCUACUGCUAGUAGCGAUCGUGGUAAUAGUGUUGGCGACGGUAGUGGCGAUGAGGCCUCUUCAUUGUUCCCGAUUACGGCUUGCUCUCCAUCAUAGCCAGGAGCCCCUCUGUAGUUUCGUACUUUUUCGAAGAACUGCUUCCUAGUUGUUCAGCAGUCACUCUCAGGCACCGCAGCUGUCCCUUGCAAUUGCAUGCCCCAUACCGGACUUCCUUUUAAAGGACCGUUUGCGUAUUCCCUUAGCAGCACUUCACGUGCUCACCGGCAUGUGCAACACGGUGAGACUUUGGGGGCGAAGUGACGAUUAUUGUUGUUAGUAAUAAAUGAAUUAAUGAAGGAACAACUAGCGAAUCUCCAGUGUCGUGUCGGCUGUGCUGUGAGAGCGCGAGGGGUAAAUGUUCAUAACGACGCAAUCAAUGCACUGGGGCAACUGACAGGCUAUCGUGCCCCUUCUAGCCAUGGCUCCCGAAAAAGUGGUAUUAUUGAGGAGGAAGGAGAAAGUCGGCGAAAAUGUGCAAUGCUGCUUAUGGUGAUCUCUCUUCGGCGAUCCUUCUCUUGUUUUCUGUGGGAUAGCAACUCCUGAUGUUCUUUUCGUUGGUGCCCUGACGUGAAGCACUCACCAUGUCGGUUAAAGAUGGAACAUUUGAAGGGCAUACAUAGAACACUGGUAGUAUUCUAGUGUGAUAAAUGAUCGUCGAAAUAAUUAAUGAGUACAUUCACCUAUACGAUGUCUAAGCGAACUAGGGGUCGCCUCAAAUAAGCAUCUUCCUCUAUGGAAACCUCGCACACAAACGCGCAAGCACGUAAAGAGACGCUUGUAUAGAUGGACUAGAGCACGGAAGCAUUCUGCUGUUCCCUGUGACAGUUUGCUCCCUAAACUGUCUGCACUGAUUUUGGUUCUCGGUGUUCUCCCUUUUAGGAAAACUACCAGCGAACAAAGGGAAGCAUGAACGGAGUCCAUUUUUUGGCUCACAUACAAUUAUUACACUUAAUGGAUGUUAAAGAACUGCCGUCAUUUGUAAACGUGUUAUAUAACCACCGGGAGUGGAACGAAUCCCGCUUUCAACGUGAUCUCCUCUAAUCGUCGUAAAUGUCGUAGUUAACUCUCGCAAUUACCCCAAUCGGAAAUUUUUAGUUUCCGCAAAAAGAAACUCUUCUACGCAUCAUUGUGAGUUGAUCGCGUUUUGGAAAGCUUCAAAAAGUGUUAGCUUUUCUCAAACAGUCAUCGGGGUGAUGUUAUCGAAAUACCUUAUAAGUUAAUAUAAUAUAUUCAAUUUGGUCAAGUCAUCUUAUAAAAUUUAGA